GGCUGGAGAGAUGGCUCAGUGGUUAAGAGCACUGACUGUUCUUCCAGAGGUCCUGAGUUCAAUUCCCAGCAACCA
This 75-nucleotide transfer RNA is filed under the name Mus musculus (house mouse). RNAcentral describes it as "tRNA-Asn". Lineage: Eukaryota; Metazoa; Chordata; Mammalia; Rodentia; Muridae. RNAcentral also lists the same sequence under 1 other name. The record is from RNAcentral.